UUAAUUGAAAUUUGUGUGGAGUUGGAACGUUUGCCUACGUUUGCCGCUAAGGGCGCAACUGCAUACAAAUUUGAGUUA
This 78-nucleotide microRNA precursor is filed under the name Bombyx mori (domestic silkworm). RNAcentral describes it as "mir-2807 microRNA precursor family". It matches the Rfam family "mir-2807 microRNA precursor family". The record is from Rfam by way of RNAcentral. Lineage: Eukaryota; Metazoa; Arthropoda; Insecta; Lepidoptera; Bombycidae.